CUCCUACGGGAGGCAGCAGUGGGGAAUAUUGCGCAAUGGCCGAAAGGCUGACGCAGCGACGCCGCGUGUGGGAUGAAGGUCUUCGGAUCGUAAACCACUGUCGCGAGGGACGAAAUUCUGACGGUACCUCGAAAGGAAGCACCGGCUAACUCUGUGCCAGCAGCCGCGGUAAUACAGAGGGUGCGAGCGUUGUCCGGAAUCACUGGGCGUAAAGGGCGCGUAGGCGGCCUGGUAAGUAGGGGGUGAAAUCCUGCGGCUCAACCGCAGGGCUGCCUUCUAGACUGUCAGGCUUGAGCACGGUAGAGGCGGAUGGAAUUCCCGGUGUAGCGGUGGAAUGCGUAGAGAUCGGGAAGAACAUCGGUGGCGAAGGCGGUCCGCUGGGCCGUUGCUGACGCUGAGGCGCGACAGCGUGGGGAGCAAACAGGAUUAGAUACCCUGGUAGUCCACGCCGUAAACGAUGGACACUAGGCGUCGGGGGGAGCGACCCUCCCGGUGCCGUCGCUAACGCAGUAA
Molecule: ribosomal RNA, 513 nt
Filed under: uncultured bacterium
Lineage: Bacteria
Description: bacterial SSU rRNA
Rfam family: Bacterial small subunit ribosomal RNA
Source: RNAcentral